AUGCGCGCGCUUCACUGCCGAGAGGGAGACGAGGCGAACGUGUCGCCCUCGGCCUCUCCAAACCGCUCGCCGCGUUCCCAGCUCCCCGCGCCCCCGCGCCAUGAGCUUGGGCAUGGUGAACUCGUGGAUAGCACACGAGGAGGCACGCCGCUCUACUCCAUGCAGGUGCAGCCAGCGCUCAUGACCAUGACGUACAAGGAGGGUGUGCUCGCCCACCUCAUCAAGGAGCUGAAGGAGCGCGAGUCCGGCCUGGUCCGCACCCCCGACAAGCUCACAGCGUUUGAUGUGGAGCUCCAUGGAGGGAGAUAG
This 309-nucleotide ribosomal RNA is filed under the name Triticum aestivum (bread wheat). RNAcentral describes it as "partial small subunit ribosomal RNA". Lineage: Eukaryota; Viridiplantae; Streptophyta; Magnoliopsida; Poales; Poaceae. The record is from RNAcentral.